GCUGGCCUGGGGACCCGGCGCGGCCGGAGCGCCGAGCGCCAUCACAGGCAAGUGGCAGCGCCCGGCGCGGCUCCUGCGGCCCCCAGCUCCCCGCCUGGGGCCUCUCUGUAGCCUCGGAGGGCGGUGUGGGGCUGUCGGGGCUCCGGGCGAAGCAGUGGUCCCGGCUUUUAAUAUCAGCAGACCUAAAACUYUUUAAUAACUUGUGUUUUAUUCGCCAGCGCAAACCCUUGCUCCUUGCUACUCUGCUGACCUACAGCCAGCGUCAGGCAGACUCAUCUCGGCGGUCAGCUGCACCGUGCUUCUGGCAGUCCCGCCGCUGAACGCCAGCGCCGUUGUGUUCUGGGAGUAUAAAAACGGCCCUCACGAAGAAAUCAUCCUCAAGUAUUAUCUCAAUAAGCCUGUAAAUACUGCUGCUUCCUACAAGAACCGUACAAAGUUCAACGAAACGGAUUUCUCCCUGCAAAUGGUGCUGCAGCGGGGGGACAGCGGAACCUACCGCUUCAGAACGGAGUCACAGGAAACGGACUGGUUCCAACUGGAAGUUAUUGAACCACUGCCUGCRCCAGAAAUCGUGGGCAACUCCUCUGUGAAAGCAGGAGGCAGCAUUAAACUGGUCUGCAACAUCCCGGAGGGGAAGGCAGACUCCUACUGGUGGAAGAAGAAUGGGGAGCUGCUGCUUGGGAGUGACCAUUUCCAGUUUGUUCGAAACAACACGUUGCACAUCAUUGAAGCGACAAUGAACGACAGCGGCUACUAUGCUUGUGUGGUCCGCAACAAAGUGAGCCAGAAUGAAACCUCCUUCCUGCUUCGUGUUCAGAACGCUGCAAAUAUGGUCUUACCUGUGAUGAUGGCAUGCGUUAUCGUUGGCUCUCUAAUAGGUGUUCUCGUCUGGUGUAGGAGGAGGGGCCGCUUUCGUCACUGUGUCCGUAGGUAAGAUACCUUGAGCCCCUUUUGCUGUGCCCGGGACUUGGGGAUGGCCCUGCUCCUCCAUUGCUAGCUACAAGGCAAAACCAGUCUUGGCUGUAACUGAAUAAUCUUGACAAGCCGAAGGUGACGGUAUCCUUGGCUAACCUGUGUCCCUAGCCUCAGAUCCACAAAACCCUGCGAGGAAACAGCCAGUUGGAUACAGUUAGAUGCAGAUGCUGCUGAGGGGACAGGCCCUUGCACAGACAAGGGAGACAGUCGAGGAGGGCCCAUUCUCUGACUUUUCAUGUAGCGUGAAACCUCUUAGCCCUUUCAUUUCGCUAAAGAUGCCCCUUGUGCAGAGAUCUCUGUACUGACAGACCUUACAGCUGGGCAGAACAGGGUUGCUCUCCCCACUUCAUAAGCGGGGUGCUGGGGCACCAACGGGCAAGGUGAUGGGCUCUGGCCCUGCAGAAGGCUGGUGGCAGCACUGGCAGAGAGCRCCCAUGUCUCGUGAGUCUCCAGCAGCCCUUGCAACCAAGGUGAGCUCCAGGCUGACUGCAGGCACUGUGUGGGGCCACCCAGGUUUCCAGGUUCAGCUGUAAUUCAGGGGCCACCGUAUUCAGGGGCUCAAAGGGUUUGCUGUUCCUAAACACUUCCACUGUUCAGUCCCUUCUUGGACUUGAUCUGGGAACGUUCUGACAAAAUGCCCUAGGAAAGGGUGAGAUAGCAGGUCUGAUUUUCCGCUGCCUGAGGCCUAAUACUGCUGUUCAGCUCUGGCAAAGCUGGCACUGGGCACCCCCAGAGCAGUGGUGUUGUGCAGACUCUCCAGGCACCGUGGAAAGUGACUGCAGAGUACAAGGCAGCAGGAAACCUCAGGGUUCCUCUAGUCCCAUCAWGCCCUUGUCCCAUCAUCUGUUCUUCGUCUUCUGGCUGUUACUGUCACACUGGCUUUUUUAUUCCCAUUAUGCCCUUAGCUCCUAUCUCAAUUUAUUCCAUUGCCAUAGCAGCGAAGAAAUUGUGCUGUGCUCUUUAGGAGAGCAGAAUCUUGGCCRGAGAGGAAAUGUUCACUUUCUCCAAGAUACACCUGUGGCUGAGAUAGAGCCAAACUCUGGCUUCAGUAAGGCUUUCCAGACUGGUUUAUAGCUGCAGCAGCCUCCAGGGUGGGAUAGAUGCAGGUGGUGCGUGGAUGCACUCUGAAACAUCCUCUUAAAUAUUUUUGUAAUUCUCCGAAGUGCAUCAGAAGUUUCCAGAAACUGGGUGCUCUUGAAAUCUUCUAGGAACUAGCUCGUUUUUCAGGCACAUAUGACCUGUUCAAAACUCAAAAUGURUUAACUGAAGUGUCCUGGAGGGUGAGGAAAGGGAUAUGAUCUUGGGAAACCUCAUUCCAUAUUGAGAUCAGUCAGAAAYAGCAAAGUUCUCGGUUGUCUUGUACAGCCGAAUCCUAUAUAACUCAUCCCUGAGAUAAGUUCGCCUAGACUGUUCCUAAAAUCCCUGCUSCUUGGAAUCACACUUUCCCUGGAUAUGCUGAGGAAGGUUCCUCUGGCCGUGUUCCAGGAAUCGGUGCUCUUGAAGUUUACAUGCAGUUCACAUCUUUUCCCCCCCACAACUUGCACAGUGCUUCCCAGGGCUCAGUGCAGACCUCCAUGCAGKCUUGGCCAGGUUUCCCCCAUGGAAUCCAGGCACAUUGGUCCAGGGAGAGCUGUAAGUGGAGCUACUGUUCACGAGCUGCAGCUUCUGGCCUUGGCCGUUUAGUCCUUUUCUCUGAGGCUGAGCAGGAGGCUGAGUAGAGCAGAAGUCCAGGUCGUAAGUGGAAGUACCAGUGUGGCAGCACUCUGCUACCACAAGAGAGCCUAUAAUAUCCUGCCAGAGCAGARCAGCAUCUUCCUGAGGCCUCAGAGAGGGUCCACCAGUCAGCAUGUUGCCUGUGAGUGGUGGGUGGUAUCCACGUACAAGAGGACAGAAGUGGAACCUGACUUAGUACUCUAUGCAAACCUCUCCUCUCUCAUUGCAGGUGGAGGGCCUGAGUGACUGCACCUUGCUCCCUUCCUCUCACGUAGGUGAUGGAUGCUAACCAGGGAGCACUGGCCACCUGCCAUCAUGCACAGCAGUCUGAUGCUGUCCCAGUCUCUUCCAGGCUCGCUUAUUAAUUGUUCAAGCUGCUAAAACCCACAGAUCCUUGCAGGACUUGUUUUACGAACAACACUGGCUUGGACUCCAUCUUCAUUGUCCUGUCCUUCCCAAGGCUCCUUGCACAUCUUUGGGGGAGAGGUAGGCAUGGCCUUCUCUGGAACACUGUCUGCUGCUUUUCUCCAGGCCUCGUUACCUUUCCUGGCUUUCUCCAAAGGCUGUGGGGGCACUUGGAGAGGGGCUGAUGGUUGUGGAUAGAGCUACCUGGCUGGGCAAACACAUGGCUCUGGAGGUUGCUGGAGAGUGACCGCAGGUGUUCUGCUACUCCUUGAUGGGAGACUCAAUGAGACUUGAAAUCCCUCACUGUGGCCUCAAUACCUCCUGGUGUGCUGCUGUUUUGGGGCACUUGGGGACUUGCUGGUGUGUCUUGGGGCUGAGAUCGUGGGGCUUCUUUUGUGUUUGGCCCUUGGAGGGAGGAGAAAAGGCAGGUUUUUGCUGUCACAUGCAUUAGGGAGUUCCAGGAGAUGAGUGGAGCCAGUUGAAGUCCACAAAGGAUGGAGGAGUGGCAUGUUAAUGGAUAUGACCUACAAUGUAGUUUUGUUUUGAAAAACAAACCCCGAAGAAAUUCUGACAACCAGCUGCUUUAGAGCAGCAGUGCAGCCUGACAUGUGCAUGCGAGACACAGGUAUGCUCCUAAGCCUGUCUCCCCUGUUCCCCCAGCCUUGGACUCAGGAAGGAUCUGAGGAUGUGCCCUCAUCUUCUGAGGGUUAGCACGUGGGUUGUACUUGUGACAGUGCAGACUUGUUCCUCCCUUUUGCCACUCCUGCGGGAGAUGAUGGUCGUGAUCUGAUUUGAUAUGGCCAGGGGCAACCCUUCUUUCCAGUCCCAAACUCCUGUCCAUGUCCCUUCCCCAUGCGCCUUCUGUGGAGCUCUUCUGGGCUCUGCUUAUAAAAAUGAUUGUUAUAACUGAAAUUACUUAGUUGGGGGCAUGGCCUUUCUCUCUCAGCACUGACAUCUUCACCCUGGAGAAAACUGGAUGCUUUCCUGGGAGCACUAGGUCUUGCUAAGUGCCUUUCUGAGUGUCAAGCUGGGCAGUUUGCACCCAUCUCUCAUUCUGACAGGGAGCCCCAGCAAGGCCAGCACCCUCUCUGAGCUGCUCCCCAGGCCCUUGGUGGAGUCAGCCAUUCUGAGUACUCUAGUCUAGCUACCGGACGAUCACUUCUCUCCUAGAGUGGGGCAGCUGAUGGCUUGAGGACCUCUUUCCUGUUGGCCUGCAGGCAGAAGGGGAACAGGUUUCUCCAAGUGGCUUCCAGGCUCUGCCCUGGGGUUGCUGGACCAGCCUGAUGCUCCUGUGUGCAGUUUCUCUAGCUCCUUCAGAGAUACAGUUCAGCUCUACAUAGCCAGAGGAAGAGAAAUCCCCAGCAGAGAAAUACCUCAGUAUGGUUCCUAGCAGAGAAAGAGUUGUCCUGGCCUCGUCGCAUUUACUUGCUGCAAGAGAGGAGACAGGAGAGUUGAGCUGUGCUUUCUUUGGUGUUUUGUUCAUGUAGGUGGUUUUUGUCUCCUGGUUGUUGUGAUUGGAUUUUGAAAGCAAUUUCUGAAUAUUUAGCAUUGUCCAAAGAAAACACUAAAGCAGUCAGCAAAUGGAGAGAGAUGAGGGUUGAUUUUACUGUAGUUUGUGUUUUGCCUGUAGACCAUAACUCACUUCUACAGAAAAGGGCAUUCCCAGCGACCUGGGAGCUCCGAGUUUCACACUCUGUUCCGAAUUCUGYCUUCUCUUUGGAGAAGAGUUGACCUGUUGGCUAUUUCUAGGAAAAUCCUUUGAAAUGUAAGUUAAAGCUGACAUGCACAAAAGCAAAAUUUCUGUGAAGCUGGUUUGAAAAAAAAAAAAGUUGGAAAUUAUUUGGUUGGUUGUUUGUUGCUGAAGAGUUCUGGUCACAUUUGUGCUUUUUACUCUGCGGGAGAAUAAACUAACUCAUGACUUGACUUUUUURGGCUCU
Dromaius novaehollandiae (emu) is the source of this 5030-nucleotide long non-coding RNA. Ensembl annotates it as HEPACAM family member 2-like. The record is from Ensembl. Lineage: Eukaryota; Metazoa; Chordata; Aves; Casuariiformes; Dromaiidae.